This 253-nucleotide ribosomal RNA is filed under the name uncultured bacterium. RNAcentral's name for it is "partial 16S ribosomal RNA". It matches the Rfam family "Bacterial small subunit ribosomal RNA", at positions 524 to 776 of the family's 1533-position model. The record is from RNAcentral.
UACGUAGGUGGCAAGCGUUGUCCGGAAUUACUGGGUGUAAAGGGCGUGUAGGCGGGAAUGCAAGUCAGAUGUGAAAUUCCGGGGCUCAACCCCGGCGCUGCAUCUGAAACUGUGUUUCUUGAGUGCUGGAGAGGAAAGCGGAAUUCCUAGUGUAGCGGUGAAAUGCGUAGAUAUUAGGAGGAACACCAGUGGCGAAGGCGGCUUUCUGGACAGUAACUGACGCUGAGGCGCGAAAGCGUGGGGAGCAAACAGG